This 253-nucleotide ribosomal RNA is filed under the name uncultured bacterium. RNAcentral's name for it is "partial 16S ribosomal RNA". It matches the Rfam family "Bacterial small subunit ribosomal RNA", at positions 524 to 776 of the family's 1533-position model. The record is from RNAcentral.
UACGUAGGGGGCAAGCGUUGUCCGGAUUUAUUGGGCGUAAAGAGCGUGUAGGCGGCUAGGUAGGUCCGUUGUGAAAACUCGAGGCUCAACCUCGAGACGCCGAUGGAAACCAUCUAGCUAGAGUCCGGAAGAGGAGAGUGGAAUUCCUGGUGUAGCGGUGAAAUGCGCAGAUAUCAGGAAGAACACCCGUGGCUAAGGCGGCUCUCUAGUUCGGUACUGACGCUGAGACGCGAAAGCGUGGGGAGCGAACAGG